UAUGGGAAAGCUGUCCAGGGGAUGGUUUAUGUGAGCCUUUGUCAGAAGACAUCCCAGUUCUUGCCCAGUGCUUCUAAACCUGAUCUCUGUCAGGAAUUCAACAACCAGACAGACAAGAUGGGUUGCUUCUUCACAAAUGUGACCCUAUCCUUCAGCCGAGACUUGAGGUACUAUCGGGACAGCAUAGUUGCAGAGGCCUCACUGUUGGAGGAUGGCACAGGUAAUUCUGGAAAUAUCUCUGGGAAGAUGCAUGGGAAGAUACACUAAUCGUAGCAAGAAUGCCACAGACUUUCAGACUAGCAAGAGCUCUGAGGUUUUUGAGCCCAUUGAGGCCUGCCGUCUAACCUCAUGGAUAUUGUCAGAGCCAGAGAUUCCUGAAGGCAUGACACACUCAGAAUGUCUGUGGUCUAAUCUCACAUCGUAAAGCUUAGGGACCUUUCUAAGGGAUAGAAGAUAAUGUGAAGGAGACCAGAUAUCCAGAGCCUUGGACAAGUCAUCUCCUUAGUAUGAAAUAUAUAUGCACAUGUACAUCAGUAUUACUGAUGAUGUUAUUCUACAGGCAAAUUGCUGACAGGUUCUUGGUUUCCCUGAUUUCCUCCCUUAUGUUUCUGUCUACUGCUUUCAUUCAGAGAUUCAGGUCAAUGCUUCCCACAAAUUACUCAUCUCCAAGAUUGGCGGGAUGGCCUUGUUUGAUGAUGUGAAUUCUUACUAUCACACUGGAGAGAUGUACAGAGGGAAGGUAAUUCCCAGUUAUGGUCUUUUGGAGAAGACAGCAUGAGAAAUGCCUUCACAGAGUCUGCUUUUCCAACCCCAUCUCUAGCAAGGGCUGGAAUAUUCAAAAGUGAGAAAAACAUCCAAGACCUUCAUUUGCCAAAUAAACCUUGAGUAAUAAUAGCUCUGGGCAUGCACUGGGGGAUGUAAACCCAAGCACUGGGAAUUUCAGCAGCCAGGAGGCCUUUUGCAAUGAAGGGGUAAAGAGUAUUGGGAUUUUGUCCGUGCCUAAAUGUGAUAAUGGGAGGUUACUGGUAGCAGAGUUGUUAGGGAUUGGAAGGGUGACCUUCCUCCUAAAAUACUGCAGAAAUUCUGCUACUGGGUUGGAGGAGAUUAUGUCCACUAAACAGUCUUCUAUGCUUCUAUCAAUCACCAUGGUAUUCUCAGAUCAAAGUCAUUGACUACAAAGGCGAGACGCUGAAGUACAAAAAAGUCCUCCUUGUAGUGAGUUUUGGUGAGCAGCAGUUUCAGCAAAAGUACAUCACUGGAGACACUGGAACAGCUUCAUUUAGCCUAAACACAACUACUUGGAACAGCACCUCAGCCUCCCUGGAGGCAAGUGUCCUGCAUCAAGAUUUGGAUGGAGAGCCUGAGACAGUUGAUUUGAAUUACCAGAGAGCCUUUCAUUUCAUACGUCCAUUCUACAGCACCAGCAGGAGUUUUCUCAGUAUUGUCCGUGUGCCAGAUAUGAUGCCCUGUGGUAAAAAGCAGACUAUCCAGGUGGACUUCAGAAUUUACCAGGAAGACCUGGAACAUGGACCCAAGCGUGUAAUUUUCUCCUACCUUGUGAGUUUUUGAAGAAAUGCUAGUAGUGAUGUCUCAAGACAUGAUAUCAGAAUCCUCCACAGGUUCAAACCUGAUACUGGAUAGCUUUGGCUUGGCAGUUUGACAGUUAGCUCAUCCAGCCAUCAUGGGGCUGGAUCCUGGUUUUAAUUCUGGGACUGCAGUAGGAGCAUGAAAGGCAGCACCUUUCUUUUGAACUCUGCACAGAUGCAGGACAGGUAUUGACCUUAUCUAUCCUCCAGCAAGUCUCUCGAACUUUUCACGUUGCCUGAGUGUGAGUAAUGCUCCUAUUCCCCUCACGUAUCCCAUUUAACGUCCAAUCUCAGGAAUACACUGGUCUGCAUAGUGGUCUCAAAGACUAUGUGACUGGCGUUCCCUUCCCUUUUUUAUUCUUUCUUAGGUCACGGGGAAAAGUGGAAUAGUUCAGGCAGGUCAGAAGACUGUUUGGGUUGGGCUGC
This is a non-coding RNA of Phasianus colchicus (ring-necked pheasant), 2012 nucleotides long. The record is from RefSeq and is a predicted model, not a curated record. Lineage: Eukaryota; Metazoa; Chordata; Aves; Galliformes; Phasianidae.